ACAGCAGCCGCCACGGGAAUACGGAGGGAGCUAGCGUUGUUCGGAAUUACUGGGCGUAAAGCGCGCGUAGGCGGUUACUCAAGUCAGAGGUGAAAGCCCGGGGCUCAACCCCGGAACUGCCUUUGAAACUAGGUGACUAGAAUCUUGGAGAGGUCAGUGGAAUUCCGAGUGUAGAGGUGAAAUUCGUAGAUAUUCGGAAGAACACCAGUGGCGAAGGCGACUGACUGGACAAGUAUUGACGCUGAGGUGCGAAAGCGUGGGGAGCAAACAGGAUUAGAUACCCGCGUAGUCCCUGUCUCUUAUAC
This 305-nucleotide ribosomal RNA is filed under the name uncultured bacterium. Its description in RNAcentral is "partial 16S ribosomal RNA". It matches the Rfam family "Bacterial small subunit ribosomal RNA", at positions 508 to 807 of the family's 1533-position model. The record is from RNAcentral.